This 465-nucleotide ribosomal RNA is filed under the name uncultured bacterium. RNAcentral describes it as "partial 16S ribosomal RNA". It matches the Rfam family "Bacterial small subunit ribosomal RNA", at positions 338 to 795 of the family's 1533-position model. The record is from RNAcentral.
CCUACGUGUGGCAGCAGUGGGGAAUAUUACGCAAUGGGCGAAAGCCUGACGCAGCGACGCCGCGUGAGGGAUGAAGGUCUUCGGAUCGUAAACCUCUGUCAGCAGGGAAGAACGGUCACUGUGCUAAUCAGCAGUGAAUUGACGGUACCUGCAAAGGAAGCACCGGCUAACUCCGUGCCAGCAGCCGCGGUAAUACGGCGGGUGCGAGCGUUAAUCGGAAUUACUGGGCGUAAAGCGCUCGUAGGCGGUAUGUCAAGUCAAGGGUGAAAUCCCCGCGCUAAACGUGGGAACUGCCUUUGAAACUGGCAAACUGGAGUGUGUGAGAGGAUAGUGGAAUUCCAGGUGUAGGAGUGAAAUCCGUAGAUAUCUGGAGGAACAUCAGUGGCGAAGGCGACUAUCUGGCACAUAACUGACGCUGAGGAGCGAAAGCGUGGGUAGCAAACAGGAUUAGAUACCCCAGUAGUC